AACGCUAGCUACAGGCUUAACACAUGCAAGUCGAGGGGAAACGAUAUUGGAAGCUUGCUUCCGAUAGGCGUCGACCGGCGCACGGGUGAGUAACGCGUAUCCAACCUGCCCACCACUUGGGGAUAACCUUGCGAAAGUAAGACUAAUACCCAAUGAUAUCUCUAGAAGACAUCUGAAAGGGAUUAAAGAUUUAUCGGUGAUGGAUGGGGAUGCGUCUGAUUAGCUUGUUGGCGGGGUAACGGCCCACCAAGGCUACGAUCAGUAGGGGUUCUGAGAGGAAGGUCCCCCACAUUGGAACUGAGACACGGUCCAAACUCCUACGGGAGGCAGCAGUGAGGAAUAUUGGUCAAUGGACGAGAGUCUGAACCAGCCAAGUAGCGUGCAGGAUGACGGCCCUAUGGGUUGUAAACUGCUUUUAUAAGGGAAUAAAGUGAGUCUCGUGAGACUUUUUGCAUGUACCUUAUGAAUAAGGACCGGCUAAUUCCGUGCCAGCAGCCGCGGUAAUACGGAAGGUCCGGGCGUUAUCCGGAUUUAUUGGGUUUAAAGGGAGCGUAGGCCGGAGAUUAAGCGUGUUGUGAAAUGUAGAUGCUCAACAUCUGCACUGCAGCGCGAACUGGUUUCCUUGAGUACGCACAAAGUGGGCGGAAUUCGUGGUGUAGCGGUGAAAUGCUUAGAUAUCACGAAGAACUCCGAUUG
Molecule: ribosomal RNA, 696 nt
Filed under: uncultured bacterium
Lineage: Bacteria
Description: bacterial SSU rRNA
Rfam family: Bacterial small subunit ribosomal RNA
Source: RNAcentral